This 481-nucleotide ribosomal RNA is filed under the name uncultured bacterium. Its description in RNAcentral is "partial 16S ribosomal RNA". It matches the Rfam family "Bacterial small subunit ribosomal RNA", at positions 30 to 507 of the family's 1533-position model. The record is from RNAcentral.
UUGAACGCUGGCGGCAUGCUUUACACAUGCAAGUCGAACGGUAACAGCACUUCGGUGGCUGACGAGUGGCGAACGGGUGAGUAAUACAUCGGAACGUGCCUAGUAGUGGGGGAUAACUACUCGAAAGAGUAGCUAAUACCGCAUGAGAUCUAAGGAUGAAAGCAGGGGACCUUCGGGCCUUGCGCUACUAGAGCGGCUGAUGGCAGAUUAGGUAGUUGGUGGGAUAAAAGCUUACCAAGCCGACGAUCUGUAGCUGGUCUGAGAGGACGACCAGCCACACUGGGACUGAGACACGGCCCAGACUCCUACGGGAGGCAGCAGUGGGGAAUUUUGGACAAUGGGCGCAAGCCUGAUCCAGCAAUGCCGCGUGCAGGAUGAAGGCCUUCGGGUUGUAAACUGCUUUUGUACGGAACGAAAAGCCCUCUUCUAAUACAGGAGGGUCAUGACGGUACCGGAAGAAUAAGCACCGGCUAACUACGUG